This 456-nucleotide long non-coding RNA is filed under the name Fukomys damarensis (Damara mole-rat). Its description in RNAcentral is "lncRNA (ENSFDAG00000026372.1)". The record is from RNAcentral. Lineage: Eukaryota; Metazoa; Chordata; Mammalia; Rodentia; Bathyergidae.
UUGAACUUUUCAUGGAGAACAUUAAUCAAUUCUCAUCUCUUUUAAUUUCCCAGACUGCUUUGGAAAUAAAGAUGAAUAACUGGUGAUCACUCGCACUUCUUGUGAGGAAGCAAACCUGAAAGUAGAAUCAUCCAUCUGGGGUUGAAUGCAGAUGAUGGAACGUGACAGGAAGGGCUCAAGAUCAUAUGUUCCCUCAAGUGAGGUGAAAACAAGACAAAAAACCCCAAUCAGCUUCAAACAUGACAAAGAGAGGAUGUGACAAGGAUGCUAGGAUUCAGCAGGAAGGGGGUACAGUACUUGCUGUGGGAACUUGGAGACUUCUGAACAUCACAAGCUGAGAAGGUUUCAUGAGGCCACUGGGAGAAGUAAGGAGGCAACAAGUCAUUCCAUUUUCCGUGGUAGGCGCUUUUUGAUAAUGAAAUUAACGUAGGAAAUAAUAUCUUAAAUAUUUAAGGC